GGGAGACUGGAGAAGCAGAAGAUGUACUCUAGAUUAUAAUUAAAUCCUCAUUCACUCAUUACAUUUUUUAGUACUUUAUAAUGAAGUUACCAAAAUAUAUAUAACCCAACGGGGAUUGCUUUAGUCCUAAUGCUGGCUUUCUAAAACACUCACAAAUUUCUUUCUAUAAUAAUACCUUAAAACUAGAAAAGGCAUAAAAUAAUGUAAGUAGAUACCACAGUGAAGAUGAUUCUUGAAAAUGAACAUGAUUCAAGAGAGAUGUGUAUGUGUGUCUGUUUGGGGGAGUGAUGUUGCUGCAGUAACUUAGGACUAUGGAAAUGAUGUUAGACAAAAACAAAUCCAAGCGAUUUUCUUAUUUGAGUUCAAAAUGGGUCGUAAAAGAAGCGCAGACAACUCACGAUAUAAACAAAGCAUUUGUCUCAGGAAUUGCUAACGAACAUACAGUGCAUUCAAGAAGUUCAAGAAGUUUUGCAAAGGAAAAGAGAUCCUUGUAGAUGAGGAGCAUAGUGGCCAGACAUCGGAAGUCCACAAUGACCAUUUGAGAGCAAUCAUUGAAGCUGUUUCUCUAACAACUACAUGAGAAGUUGCCAAAGAACUCAAACCUUGACGAUUCUACAGCCCUUUAGCAUUUGAAGCAAAUUGGAAAGCUGGGAAAAUCUCGCUAAGUGGGUGCCUCAUGAGCUGAGCGAAAAUUAAAAAAUCCUCGUUUUGAAGUGUCAUCUUCUCUUAUUCUACACGACAAACCAUUUCUUGAUCUGAUUGUGAUGUGCGACAAAAAGUGACAACUGGCAACAACUAGCUCAGUGGUUGGAGUGAGAAAAAGCUCCAAAGCACUUCCCAAAGCCAAACUUGCACCAAAUAAAGGUCAUGGUCACUGUUUGGUGGUCGGGUCCACUGCAGCUUUCUGAAUCUUCAGGCUUCAAAAGAUACUAUCAACAAAAUUAAAAGAUAACCUAUAGAAUGGGAAAAAUAUUUGCAAAUUAUCUAUCUUGUAAACUUCUAGUCUUGAAUGUAUACAGAACUCUUGCAACUCGACAAUAAGAGGACAAAUAGCCAAAUUUUUAAAAAGAUAGACAAAGAAUUUGAGCGGACAUUUUUCCAAGGACAAUACACAAAUGGCUACCAAACACAUGAAAUAUGUUCAACAUCAUUAAUCAUUAGAGAAAUAUAACUCAGAGUCACAAUGAGAUACCAGUUCACACCCACUGAGAUAAUUAUAAUUAAGACAGACAAGUGUUAGCUAGAAUAUAGAGAUAUUGGAACUCUUGUAUGUUGCUGGUGGAAAUGUAAUAUAGUACAGCUGCUUUGGAAAUCAGUUCCUUAAAAUGUUAAACAU
Molecule: long non-coding RNA, 1336 nt
Organism: Homo sapiens (human)
Lineage: Eukaryota; Metazoa; Chordata; Mammalia; Primates; Hominidae
Source: Ensembl